Molecule: non-coding RNA, 100 nt
Filed under: Desulfuribacillus stibiiarsenatis
Lineage: Bacteria; Bacillati; Bacillota; Desulfuribacillia; Desulfuribacillales; Desulfuribacillaceae
Also listed under: 1 other name
Description: Purine riboswitch aptamer
Rfam family: Purine riboswitch aptamer
About the family: Riboswitches are metabolite binding domains within certain messenger RNAs that serve as precision sensors for their corresponding targets. Allosteric rearrangement of mRNA structure is mediated by ligand binding, and this results in modulation of gene expression. A class of riboswitches that selectively recognises guanine and becomes saturated at concentrations as low as 5 nM.
Source: Rfam by way of RNAcentral
AAUAAAUAAAAAAUAUUAACUCAUAUAAUAGUGGGGAUAUGGCCUGCGAGUUUCUACCAGCUACCGCAAAUAGUUGACUAUGAGUGAAAUGAUUGAUUUU